ACGCAAUAGAUACCCAGGUAGUCCAUGCCGUAAACGUUGGGAACUAGGUGUGGGUCUCAUUCCACGAGAUCCGUGCCGCAGCUAACGCAUUAAGUUCCCCGCCUGGGGAGUACGGCCGCAAGGCUAAAACUCAAAGGAAUUGACGGAGGCCCGCACAAGCGGCGGAGCAUGCGGAUUAAUUCGAUGCAACGCGAAGAACCUUACCAAGGCUUGACAUAUGCGAGAACGCGGCAGAGAUGUCGUUCUCUUUGGACACUCGCAUACAGGUGGUGCAUGGUUGUCGUCAGCUCGUGUCGUGAGAUGUUUGGGUUUAAGUCCCGCAACGAGCGCAACCCUCGUUCUAUGUUGCCAGCACGUGAUGGUGGGGACUCAUAGGAGACUGCCGGGGUCAACUCGGAGGAAGGUGGGGAUGACGUCAAAUCAUCAUGCCCCGUUAUGUCUUGGGCUUCACGCAUGCUACAAUGGCCGGUACAAACGGGCUGCGAAACCGCGAGGUGGAGCGAAUCCCAAAAAA
RNAcentral lists this ribosomal RNA (514 nucleotides) under uncultured bacterium. RNAcentral describes it as "bacterial SSU rRNA". It matches the Rfam family "Bacterial small subunit ribosomal RNA", at positions 772 to 1281 of the family's 1533-position model. The record is from RNAcentral.